RNAcentral lists this ribosomal RNA (1393 nucleotides) under metagenome. Its description in RNAcentral is "bacterial LSU rRNA". It matches the Rfam family "Bacterial large subunit ribosomal RNA", at positions 1512 to 2925 of the family's 2925-position model. The record is from RNAcentral.
CUAAGCAUUGAGGCAGUCUAAAUAGGCAAAUCCGUUUGGACAAUGCUAGGAUGCGAUGGGGAAGCCCUCCGGGGCGAAGUAGCUGAUUUCACACUGUCAAGAAAAGCUUCUAUCGAGUUUAAAGGCGCCCGUACCGUAAACCGACACAGGUGGGUGAGGAGAGUAUCCUAAGGCCAGCGAGAGAACUAUUGUUAAGGAACUCGGCAAAAUGACCCCGUAACUUAGGGAGAAGGGGUGCCUGUCUAUGACAGGCCGCAGAGAAUAGGCCCAAGCGACUGUUUACCAAAAACACAGGUUUCUGCUAAGUCGCAAGACGAUGUAUAGGAGCUGACGCCUGCCCGGUGCUGGAAGGUUAAGGGGAUCUGUUAGAGCAAUCGAAGCAGUGAACUUAAGCCCCAGUAAACGGCGGCCGUAACAAUAACGGUCCUAAGGUAGCGGAAUUCCUUGUCGGGUAAGUUCCGACCCGCACGAAAGGCGUAACGAUUUGGGCACUGUCUCAACAAUAGACUCGGUGAAAUUGUAAUCCCGGUGAAGAUGCCGGGUACCUGCGACAGGACGGAAAGACCCCAUGGAGCUUUACUGUAGCUUGACGUUGGGUCUAGGUACUACAUGUACAGGAUAGGUGGGAGACUAUGAAGCAUGGACGCCAGUCUGUGUGGAGUCAUCCUUGGGAUACCACCCUUGUAGUACUGGGAUCCUAACCAUAGGCCUUGUAUCAGGUCUUGGAACACCGUCAGGUGGGCAGUCUGACUGGGGCGGUCGCCUCCUAAAAAGUAACGGAGGCGCUCAAAGGUUUCCUCAGCACGGUCGGAAAUCGUGCGAAGAGUGUAAAGGCAAAAGGAAGCUUGAUUGCAAGACAUACAGGUCGAGCAAGGACGAAAGUCGGACUUAGUGAUCCGGUGGUACCGCAUGGAAGGGCCAUCGCUCAACGGAUAAAAGCUACCCUGGGGAUAACAGGCUUAUCUCCCCCAAGAGUCCACAUCGACGGGGAGGUUUGGCACCUCGAUGUCGGCUCAUCACAUCCUGGGGCUGUAGUAGGUCCCAAGGGUUGGGCUGUUCGCCCAUUAAAGUGGUACGCGAGCUGGGUUCAGAACGUCGUGAGACAGUUCGGUCCCUAUCCGUCGCAGGCGUAGGAAAUUUGAGAAGACCUGUCCUUAGUACGAGAGGACCGGGAUGGACGUACCUCUGGUGUACCAGUUGUUCUGCCAAGGGCAUUGCUGGGUAGCUAUGUACGGAAUGGAUAAGCGCUGAAAGCAUCUAAGCGCGAAGCCAACUUCAAGAUAAGAUUUCCCACCGUAAGGGUAAGACCCCAGGAAGACUACCUGGUUGAUAGGUCGAAGGUGUAAGUGCAGUAAUGUAUUUAGCUUAUCGAUACUAAUAGGUCGAGGACUUG